CCUACGGGUGGCAGCAGUGAGGAAUAUUGGUCAAUGGGCGGAAGCCUGAACCAGCCAAGUAGCGUGAGGGAUGAAGGUCCUACGGGUCGUAAACCGCUUUUGUCCGGGGACAAAACCUUGCACGCGUCCCGGUCUGCAUGUACCUUGCGAAAAAGGGCCGGCUAACUCCGUGCCAGCAGCCGCGGUAAUACGGAGGGAUCGAGCGUUAUCCGGAUUCAUUGGGCUUAAAGGGGGCGUAGGCGGGCGUUCAAGUCAGCGGUAAAAUCCCGUGGCUCAACCCCGGCCCGCAGUUGAAACUGGAAGCGUUGAGUUGGCGACAAGCAGGCGGAAUGCGUGGUGUAGCGGUGAAAUGCAUAGAUAUCGCGAAGAACCCCGAUUGCGAAGGCAGCCUGCCGGGGUACGACUGACGCUGAGGCACGAAGGUGCGGGUAUCGAACAGGAUUAGAUACCCUAGUAGUC
RNAcentral lists this ribosomal RNA (459 nucleotides) under uncultured bacterium. RNAcentral's name for it is "partial 16S ribosomal RNA". It matches the Rfam family "Bacterial small subunit ribosomal RNA", at positions 338 to 795 of the family's 1533-position model. The record is from RNAcentral.